AAGUCGUAACAAGGUUUCCGUAGGUGAACCUGCGGAAGGAUCAUUAUUGAAAUAAACCUGAUGAGUUGCUGCUGGUUCUCUAGGGAACAUGUGCACAUUUAUCGUUUUAUAUUUCCACCUGUGCAUCUAUUGUAGAUUUUGGAUAUCUUUCUGAAUGCUUUUGUAGCAUGUCAGGUUUGGGGAUUGACUUUCAUGUCUGUCUUUGCAUUUCCAGGUCUAUGUUUCUUCAAUAUACCCCAAUGUAUGUUAUAGAAUGUAUUAAGUGGGCCCUUUGUGCCUAUAAACUUAUACAACUUUCAGCAACGGAUCUCUUGGCUCUC
This 320-nucleotide unclassified non-coding RNA is filed under the name Cortinarius illitus. RNAcentral's name for it is "partial internal transcribed spacer region". The stretch from base 1 to 46 matches the Rfam family "Eukaryotic small subunit ribosomal RNA", at positions 1786 to 1831 of the family's 1831-position model. The record is from RNAcentral. Lineage: Eukaryota; Fungi; Basidiomycota; Agaricomycetes; Agaricales; Cortinariaceae.